This 283-nucleotide ribosomal RNA is filed under the name uncultured prokaryote. RNAcentral's name for it is "partial 16S ribosomal RNA". It matches the Rfam family "Bacterial small subunit ribosomal RNA", at positions 524 to 817 of the family's 1533-position model. The record is from RNAcentral.
UACGUAGGGGGCUAGCGUUAUCCGGAAUUACUGGGCGUAAAGGGUGCGUAGGUGGUUUCUUAAGUCAGAGGUGAAAGGCUACGGCUCAACCGUAGUAAGCCUUUGAAACUGGGAAACUUGAGUGCGGGAGAGGAGAGUGGAAUUCCUAGUGUAGCGGUGAAAUGCGUAGAUAUUAGGAGGAACACCAGUUGCGAAGGCGGCUCUCUGGACUGUAACUGACACUGAGGCACGAAAGCGUGGGGAGCAAACAGGAUUAGAUACCCCGGUAGUCCCUGAGCGGGCU